Molecule: RNA transcript, 1868 nt
Organism: Drosophila sechellia
Lineage: Eukaryota; Metazoa; Arthropoda; Insecta; Diptera; Drosophilidae
Exons: 3
Source: RefSeq, a predicted model, not a curated record
GGUGUGACUGCGCUGGACGAGUCGCAAACUGCCGGGAAAACUGCCGGACAAACGGACAAACGGACAGCCGUACAAACGGACAGCCGGACAAACGGAUAGCCGGACAAUCGGACUCCGGCCGUAGAGUUGGCCAGACUCAUUUCCAUAAGCAGUUGCAGCUGCUGCGGCAUUUAAAUUUGCAAUUACUUGCGUGGUCGGUCUGCUGACGUCGAAAAAAUGAAAAGGAAACACCAUGAAAUCAAUGCAAAUUUGAAUGCCAAAAACGUAAUAUUAUGGCCAAAAAAAAAGUGGAAAGCAUUACUGUGAAAUAGUUUGAGUGUUAAAUGACCUUUUCAGUAUAUGAGUCCAUUAUUAAAAUAUAUAUUUUGUUGAAUGAGGAACAUAUAGAAAUUGAAUACAUGCUAUACAUUUUUUUUAAACAUUAUAUCAAUAACAAUCAAAACUAAUAUGUGUUCAUGUUUAUAAUUAUAUCACUUACAAGGAGAUUAAAAGGGUAUACUAGAUUCUUUUAAAAGUAUGUAACAUAUAGAAGGAAGCGUGUCCACCCAGUAUAUGGAUUUAUGAUCAGGAUAUCUAUCCAUUUGGCCAUGUCGAUCUGUUCGAUAUGCUAGCUGAUUAUGAGUCAGAAGUCGAAUCUGAUUCACUCCCUCUGGCUUUCAUCCGUUUUUGUGCGCUCGUGCUUUUUGCGGCCACCAUUCUGACCUAAUUCGGAGCAUCAGCCAGAAUCCGGCGAGCAUUUCGUUUCGUUUGGUCAGCAUUCACCACUCAGAGCCCCGAAUCCAGUAUCCACUAUCCAGUAUCCAGAGCUCAUGGAGCCACUGCAUUGUCGGUUAACGUAUUCAACGCUAAAAUGUGUGCAGCUACCACACCACCGGUGCCACCGAAGCCACUGCAGCCUGUGGCACCACCAGCACCACUUCAGCAUCAUAACAUUUCGAGCCACGCAAGUUCUGUUUGCCUUUUGCGGUUUCCUCCACCAGCUAAUGCAGAUUUUGGGCGCUCUUUUGGCCAUUAUGUAUGUUCCAGCUGCUCAACAAGAAGCAUUGAGUGUUAGUGGAUAAACUGGAAACUAAUCCAAAUCAACGCCUAAUGGGCUCCGAACGCAUCUGCUGGAAACUAUAUAUAGCUUCGCUGCAUCCCUUAUCAACCGAAGCGCUCGGGAAAUGAGGAAAUGGCUUAAAGCAGUUACCGUUCUCUCUUGGCCACUUCAAAGGCGGCGAAUGCACUUAAUUGAGUGGUCGUUAGUCCCGGAGGAGGAGGCAUGGCGGAGCAGAGCCAACCAGAUCAAAGGAGCAGCUCAGACCCGCCAGAAAGCUGCGUCAAUCGGACACCUCCAUUAGCCCAAUCAACCUCGGAAUGCGCGAAUGGUGGAUGCGAGUGUGGAAGUGGCAGUGUGGCAGUGGAAGUGCCAGCGGAAGCGGACACUCAAUUAAAUCUUACUGCACAUUUCGCAACAAUUGGCCAGCUACUUUGCAGCCGGCUUACUGCGUGUAAUAGCCAUCUGGUCAUCCGCCCGGAAUCUGUGUCAUCGGAUCGGAUCGGAUUGGACUGGACUGGAUGGCAGUGUCAUCCAUUCGGCGACUCUCAUUAAAAGUGGCGUGGCUUUUAAGUACCUUAAAUUGCCACUCGCGUGCACACAGACGCAUUUAUCACGUUCGCUGAUGGUGCACUGGAAAAAAAGCCUCACCAACUAGCAAGGAAGUGUGGAAGUAUAUGCAUUACAAUGACACGGAAAGUGUGGUUUUUAUCAGAGUGAUUAAAAUGAACUCUAGUUGUUCUAGACAUUCUUAAAAUAAAUAUGUAAUGACACAAAGCAAGUCGGAGAAUUGCUAUCUUAAGUUAUUUUGCAAAAUCAGGAAUAAAUUCAG